This 460-nucleotide ribosomal RNA is filed under the name uncultured bacterium. Its description in RNAcentral is "bacterial SSU rRNA". It matches the Rfam family "Bacterial small subunit ribosomal RNA", at positions 342 to 794 of the family's 1533-position model. The record is from RNAcentral.
AUGGAGGCAGCAGUGAGGAAUUUUGGACAAUGGGCGCAAGCCUGAUCCAGCCAUGCCGCGUGCGGGAAGAAGGCCUUCGGGUUGUAAACCGCUUUUGUCAGGGAAGAAACGCGCUGGGCUAAUACCUCGGCGUAAUGACGGUACCUGAAGAAUAAGCACCGGCUAACUACGUGCCAGCAGCCGCGGUAAUACGUAGGGUGCAAGCGUUAAUCGGAAUUACUGGGCGUAAAGCGUGCGCAGGCGGUCGUGCAAGACAGAUGUGAAAUCCCCGGGCUUAACUUGGGAACUGCCUUUGUGACUGCACGGCUGGAGUGCGGCAGAGGGGGAUGGAAUUCCGCGUGUAGCAGUGAAAUGCGUAGAUAUGCGGAGGAACACCGAUGGCGAAGGCAAUCCCCUGGGCCUGCACUGACGCUCAUGCACGAAAGCGUGGGGAGCAAACAGGAUUAGAUACCCUGGUAGU